This 237-nucleotide ribosomal RNA is filed under the name Triticum aestivum (bread wheat). Its description in RNAcentral is "partial small subunit ribosomal RNA". Lineage: Eukaryota; Viridiplantae; Streptophyta; Magnoliopsida; Poales; Poaceae. The record is from RNAcentral.
AUGGAUCUGUACAACAAAACUAUUUUUUGGAAUGUGCGAGGUCUGAACAGUAGGGCCAAGCGCACCGCUGCCCGCAUUAUAAUAAACUCGGCUUCCCCCUACAUCGUCUGCUUCCAGGAGACUAUGAUCUCCGUGGUCACCCCGCCCCUGGUCCUUGAGACUCUUGGGCCUCUAUUCCGUGACUUCUUUUGGCUGGCUGGCGACGGAACGCGCGGGGGCAUUCUGCUUGCUUGGCGG